Molecule: ribosomal RNA, 402 nt
Filed under: uncultured bacterium
Lineage: Bacteria
Description: bacterial SSU rRNA
Rfam family: Bacterial small subunit ribosomal RNA
Source: RNAcentral
UGAGGAAUAUUGGACAAUGGGGGAAACCCUGAUCCAGCCUAUCGAGUGAGUGAUGAAGGCCUUCGGGUUGUAAAUCUCUUUUAUCUGUGAAGAUAAUGACGGUAACAGAUGAAUAAGCACCGGCUAACUUCGUGCCAGCAGCCGCGGUAAUACGAAGGGUGCAAGCGUUGUUCGGAUUAACUGGGCGUAAAGGGUGUGUAGGUUGCCUACUAAGUAAGAUGUUAAAGCCAUGGGUCUAACCUGUGUACGCAUCUUAUACUGGUAGGGUAGAGUCUGUCAGAGGAAAGCGGAAUUCCUAGUGGAGAGGUAGAAUUUGUAGAUAUUAGGAGGAACGCCAGAGGCGAAAGCGGCUUUCUGGGGCAUGACUGACACUAAAACACGAAAGCGUGGGGAGCAAACAGG